GACUUUUAUGUUUUGAGACGGUUGGCAGACCAUCUUCCACAUCCCUCGCACGCGGCGCCACAGAAACUACAGCAACAGAGCAAAGACAUCAAAGGGUGGUGUGAUAUCAACAUGGCUACAAUAAUAUGAGGCUGCAUUUUUUGGCUUUGAUGUCAUUCGAACUACGAUCUGGCGGGUCUUACUAUCUGUAAAGAAGAGUCUGCCGAUGUUUUUAAGACACAAGAAAAAGGAGCUUGACCAGGUGCAGAAGGCAACACUCACCAUCAUUGCUGUUGA
Molecule: long non-coding RNA, 276 nt
Organism: Megalobrama amblycephala (Wuchang bream)
Lineage: Eukaryota; Metazoa; Chordata; Actinopteri; Cypriniformes; Xenocyprididae
Exons: 4
Source: RefSeq, a predicted model, not a curated record